AUGAAAACUAUUUAGGGGGUUGUUACAGUAGUCCAGGCAAGAGAUGGUGAGGCCAGGUGGCUGGAAUGGAAGAAGUUGGUUUGGAGUGACAGAUAUGGGAGCAAUCCAAACGACAAUGAAACCCCAGGAGCUGGUGAGAGUGCCAGGAGAACGGGCCCACAAAAGGAAGAGAGAGAAUGGAGGGCACAGCUCUUGAGGCCUCCAGAACUCCACGUCAGCAAGACAGCAAGGGCCCCCCGGAGGAAACGGGCUUCGAGAUGACAGGUCACACGGUGCAGCGAGGAGCGCGUGAGAGAGAGGGCCAGGGGAUGGCCGCGCGCUUCUGGAGAGGCCAGACAGAAGAGUGGGAAAAGUGCGCGUAAACUUGGCAAAUCCAAGCCCGUUAAUGACCCUCUAGGGCGUGGUUUGAGCAGAAAUCUUUAACCUCCUUCUUCAAUCUGAGUUAAAGACUAAGACGUGGAAUAUAAGAAAGCAUGAAGAAGCUUCCAGAAUGGGAUAACUUCUGUGAAAAGCAGGAUCCUGUUGGAAUGGUCACCAACACAUCUGAAGGUAGAGAUUCAGAGGACAGCCCUCCAAAUAAAGAGUCUUGUGCUUGUUUAAUGAAACAUCAAAGAAGCACCUGGAGAGACCACAGGAUCAUGAAAACGCACGUGAGCAGUGUUCCUGCUGGCUCAGAAGGUGUGUGAUGGCACCAGACAGACUCUGACUCCCUGCCACCAGAAACAGAGUAAAUUCAUCUCUACCCUGCGCACGGAGAAGCUGUUCCUCCUCGUAGGAGUUCACAGUGAGCCUCCGAGCAGUGGGGAUAGCACCCCGUGGCAAUCAGUGUCGACGGGUCUGGAGCAGGCCUUACACCGCUGAGAUGGCUUCUCUUCCUUUCGUCUCUAAACUGCUUCUCCCCCCAGAUUUCUUUUUGCUCUUAUCCUUUGGCAAAAAGUGUGCAUCUACCCUUCGUAGCAAACUGAGCAGAUUCCACUGUAUGUUCUUCAGGGGCAAAUUAGGACUCAGAGCUCCACAUUCUCCAGAAGCGAUAAAGGCCAUGUCACUUAAUCCCUUUGCUGGGUCUUGACCAGCCUUGGGAGGGCAGCUUCAAAGACCGAAGUGGUGCAGAGCCCUGGCCCGACUGGAUCCCGUCCCCUUAUGUUUCCAUGCUUCCCCGCUUUUGAUGAUGCUACUGCGCUGGGAGCAGGAACUGAAGGCGGGUGCUCUGACACUCAGAGACACAUCUCUCAACACAAGAAGUAGGAGAAAGGGUUCAAUCGUCUUAGCAGGAACUGGAGAUGUGUGCACAAGAUGCACUGCUCAGCGUGUCUGGGAGCCCCAGAGCUGCCGCAAGAGGAUAGGCAGCCCACGGAUGGAGAAAUGAUUUUAAGGAGAAGAGACCGUGGGCCUGUAAAUGCAAGUAGCUGCCAUUUAUGGAGCAUUCGUCUGCUCUUUGAAUUCCCGCGAGAACCAGCGCCCACGCACGGAAAUCCCAAGUGUUUUGGGAGCUCUGUGCCAGGAACACGGACAAAGACCAAGUGCGCAGUUCCUACUAUGAUCACAGUAUCACAGCCACCUAACCCAUUGAGUUGUUACAAGGAAGUAGCGGUGGAGUUUGGUUGGACAAAUGACUUUCCUGUCCUCUGCGUCCUCAUCCAUGCCUAGAGGGGAAUGAUGGCCUAAUGCUGGCAGAGGAUUCCAUAGUUUCUUAACUCAUCCUGCUAACACAGUCUAGCACCUUCCAAGGAGUACAGGAUGUGGAGAUAUUUAACAACUAUUGUACUUGUUCUCAGAUUUGGGGGCCUCAGCUGAAACUCUGAAUCAACAGGAAAAGUCACAUCUUAACAUAGUAUUAUGUAUAUGUCAUAGGCUCUUACUAGUAGUUCUUCGGUGUAUUAUGAUUUAAAUCAUGUUCCUUGACAAAAUAAAUUUGGAAAACACUGCUCUAUUGUUUUGCUUUUAAGUAUGAUGUAAGCUAUUGGUUUGGGAUAACUUUUUAAUCUUGUUAAGGGAGUAUUCUAUAUGCAAUUUAUUUAACUUUUUAUCAGAAAUGGAUAUUAAAUUUUGUUAAAUGCCUUUGACAUUUGUCAAGAUGAACAUAAAGUUUGUCUCUUUUGACCCAUUGAUGUGAUCAAUGAUAUUUUUAGAUUUCCCAAUAUUGAAU
RNAcentral lists this long non-coding RNA (2146 nucleotides) under Equus caballus (horse). Its description in RNAcentral is "lncRNA (ENSECAG00000036657.3)". The record is from RNAcentral. Lineage: Eukaryota; Metazoa; Chordata; Mammalia; Perissodactyla; Equidae.